Engraulis encrasicolus (European anchovy) is the source of this 1158-nucleotide long non-coding RNA. RefSeq lists it as uncharacterized. Lineage: Eukaryota; Metazoa; Chordata; Actinopteri; Clupeiformes; Engraulidae. The record is from RefSeq and is a predicted model, not a curated record. The transcript is spliced from 3 exons.
UCCCAACUUCAUGUGUUUCUUUAUGUCAUUGCUCUUCCUCAUACAGCUUGCCCCCACAUUCACCGCUUGGUGUGUUGUUAUUAUUACUAUGUGAUUCUUUACUUCACUGAUGACCCCUGAACAGAUUGUCAGUGCCCUUCCCAACUUCAUGUGUUUCUUUAUUUCAUUGCUCUUCCUCAUACAGCUUGCCCCCACACUCACAGCUUGGUGUGUAUAUUAUAACAAUGUGUUUCUUUAUUUCAUUGCUCCAGGUGUGUCAUGUUCACUCAUCAUUCACAGAUAUCCGGCCCUUCUUCAUACAGCUUGCCCCCCUCCCCACAUUCACAGCUUGGUGUGUUGUUAUUAUUACUAUGUGAUUCCUUACUUCACUGAUGACCCCUGAACUUCAUGUGUUUCUUUAUUUCAUUGCUCCAGGUGUGUCAUAUUCACUCAUCAUUGACUGAUGACCCCUGAACAGAUUUCCGGCCCUUCUUCAUACAGCUUGUCUUCCACCUUCACAGUCAUGCUGUGUCAUAUUCACUCAUCAUUGACUGAUGACCCCUGAACAGAUUUCCGGCCCUUCUUCAUACACCUUGUCUUCCACCUUCACAGUCAUGGCACAACACUCAGGAGUGCUGUGAGUUGCAUGACACCUGCAGAGGCUCCAUACUACAGACUACUACUACUCGGUACUACAGAAACCGGAUCACUUGACAAGCCUGUGUCCUGUUUUGGCCUUCCACACUCUGUAGGAUUGCAUAGGCUCCAUUUCUUCUCCCACAUCACCAUUCCAAAACAACUCCAGAUGUUUCGUUUGUAUUAUGGCCAGUUUCUUUACAUCUGUUACACUACCUGUGUUUUGCACCCAAAACUGGACUGCUCUAUCUGUUUCUUGUUUUUUAUCAUUAUCACUUGCAUUGCUGUAAAUAUGUUCCAUUAGCUCAGUUUUGCAACUAUGAAGUGUACAGUUUUGUUGUUGUAUUACUGUUACGCUGAGCAAAAAGAAACCUCAAACCUUACUCUUAGGCCUAUGUGAAUUCUUCAUGCGUGUCGUGCUCUGUCAACAGUUUGAUGCUUACAAAGCAUUCCAAGUGUCUGUAUGAUGUUCUACCAUUAUGCUAUGCCUUCACACAGUUAAUAACAAAAGGUAUACAGUAUUAAAAAUGCAUAUUCACACUA